Molecule: non-coding RNA, 182 nt
Organism: Helianthus annuus (common sunflower)
Lineage: Eukaryota; Viridiplantae; Streptophyta; Magnoliopsida; Asterales; Asteraceae
Source: Rfam
AUACCAUUCUCGGCCUUUUGGCUAAGAUCAAGUGUAGUAUCUGUUCUUAUAAGUUUAAUAUUUGAUAUAUGGGCCAUCGGCCAAUCUUAUUUUUCACAAGGAAAGAUCCAUCACAAUAGCUUGCUAUUGGGGCCUUUGAGUGUCUAGGUAAAGCAGGUUGUUCCGAAUUAGUAACUUUUUUA